CAGUCGUACCGACGAGAAAUCAACUCCUUGAGUGUGAACUUGUGGGCGUGUGUGAGCUUUAAAACCUCGCUGUUCGCAAUGUUUGUGCUUUUUGGGUGUACUUUUUCGUAUGGUAGGCCAACAUCAGUUUUGGUCGCUAUAAAAUGGCUGGAGGAAUGUAGCUUCGAUCUCGUAUUGAAGUGUUAUAGCCUCUGGUAGAUGUAGUGAUUGAUACUGAGGAUUGCAACGAAUACCCUUCGGGCUAUUCGCCUGAUCUCUG
RNAcentral lists this ribosomal RNA (259 nucleotides) under uncultured Glomeromycotina. Its description in RNAcentral is "partial large subunit ribosomal RNA". Lineage: Eukaryota; Fungi; Glomeromycota. The record is from RNAcentral.